This 513-nucleotide ribosomal RNA is filed under the name uncultured bacterium. RNAcentral's name for it is "partial 16S ribosomal RNA". It matches the Rfam family "Bacterial small subunit ribosomal RNA", at positions 28 to 523 of the family's 1533-position model. The record is from RNAcentral.
GACGAACGCUGGCGGCGUGCCUAACACAUGCAAGUCGAACGGAGAUUUCAGCAAUGAAAUCUUAGUGGCGAACGGGUGAGUAACGCGUAGACAACCUGCCUUUUAGAUGGGGACAACACCGCGAAAGUGGUGCUAAUACCGAAUGUUGUAUUUUAAUCGCAUGAUUGAGAUACUAAAGAUGGCCUCUGUAUAUGCUAUCGCUAAAAGAUGGGUCUGCGUCUGAUUAGCUAGUUGGUGAGGUAAUGGCUCACCAAGGCGACGAUCAGUAGCCGGUCUGAGAGGAUGAACGGCCACACUGGGACUGAGACACGGCCCAGACUCCUACGGGAGGCAGCAGUGGGGAAUCUUCCGCAUGGACGAAAGUCUGACGGAGCAACGCCGCGUGAGUGAAGAAGGUUUUCGGAUCGUAAAACUCUGUUUUCAGGGACGAAUGUGCAGCUUGUAAAUAAUGAGUUGUAAUGACGGUACCUGAGUAGAAAGCCACGGCUAACUACGUGCCAGCAGCCGCGGUAA